CGAGAUCAUGCCAUUGCACUCCAGUCUGGGCAACAAGAGUGAAACUCCGUCUCAAAAAAAAAAAAAGGAAUGGAUGCUAUCCAUCACCUCAUCUCGUGCGGCCCUUUCCUGGCUGCCUUACAGGAAGAGUGAAUUUGGGGCAGCACGUUGUCUUUAUCCUUUCCUCUUUCUUCUUUUCACCAGUCCUCCAGCGGUUGUGGGGCACCCAGGAUGUAUCCCAAGACAUCCAGGAGAUGAAAGAUGAGAGUGCAAGGAUGUCACAAGAAAAGCAAGUCACCGUGCUGGAGCUCUUUAGAGUGUCCAGCUACCGACAGCCCAUCAUCAUUUCCAUUGUGCUGCAGCUCUCUCAGCAGCUCUCUGGGAUCAAUGCUGUGUUCUAUUACUCAACAGGAAUCUUCAAGGAUGCAGGUGUUCAAGAGCCCAUCUAUGCCACCAUCGGCGCGGGUGUGGUUAAUACUAUCUUCACUGUAGUUUCUCUAUUUCUGGUGGAAAGGGCAGGAAGAAGGACUCUGCAUAUGAUAGGCCUUGGAGGGAUGGCUUUUUGUUCCACGCUCAUGACUGUUUCUUUGUUAUUAAAGGAUAACUAUAAUGGGAUGAGCUUUGUCUGUAUUGGGGCUAUCUUGGUCUUUGUGGCCUUCUUUGAAAUUGGACCAGGCCCCAUUCCCUGGUUUAUUGUGGCCGAACUCUUCAGCCAGGGCCCCCGCCCAGCUGCGAUGGCAGUGGCCGGCUGCUCCAACUGGACCUCCAACUUCCUAGUCGGAUUGCUCUUCCCCUCCGCUGCUCACUAUUUAGGAGCCUACGUUUUUAUUAUCUUCACCGGCUUCCUCAUUACCUUCUUGGCCUUUACCUUCUUCAAAGUCCCUGAGACC
This 869-nucleotide small RNA is filed under the name Pongo abelii (Sumatran orangutan). RNAcentral describes it as "retained intron". Lineage: Eukaryota; Metazoa; Chordata; Mammalia; Primates; Hominidae. The record is from RNAcentral.